Molecule: long non-coding RNA, 612 nt
Organism: Bactrocera neohumeralis
Lineage: Eukaryota; Metazoa; Arthropoda; Insecta; Diptera; Tephritidae
Exons: 6
Source: RefSeq, a predicted model, not a curated record
GCAAGACGGAGGUAACAGAUUGCACAAACACAUUGAAACAUUUUCAGCUGUUCACUAACACUGUUACAUUUUCUGGAAUUUUCAAUUGAAUGGGAGAUUACAAAAGGAAAGACGAAUACCCAAUUUUUCAAGAAGAAGAAAAAGAAAAGCGCAGUUUAUUUUGGAUUUUAAAGAGAGAAAUCGAAAAAGCUUCACAAGGAGAAAAAGGAAUCAUUUGGAGAAUUCAAAUAUAUUGCGUACAACAGACAAAUAAGGGAAUAUAAUCCAGAAGCUGGAUGCCAUUGAGACCCGUCUCACUGCAAUUGAAAAGUCCCUAACAGACAAAAUGCCAGAGAAGGCCGAGGUGCAGGCGCAAAGUAAAUUAUUGCGCGAAUGCCGCGUCAUAGCGGCAAAGACGCACCAUUCAAUUAGCCGCAUCACCGGUGAUUUGGAGGACGAGCAUUACGUGGAGCUCGCUUCGAAACUGCCCAUAUCAUCGGAAGAGCACAGGGCGCAAAAGGCAGUGUGGACGGCGUACUGCGCCGUAGUUGUAAAUACAUAUUAGUUCUAAGUUGUACUAUACCUAUUAGUUUUACGUUGUAAAUAUUAGUUUUAAGUUGUAUAAAUUAGUUU